GCCUGUGCGACAUCAUCUUGCCUAAUUCUAUAGUCCUAUGCUCUGCCCUUUCAACUUUAGAAUUUGGGGUGUUGGUGGUGUUUAUUUUCAACAAGCUCCACCAUCCUUAUCUUUCUGAAGAUGCUCCUAAAGUCCCCACGCACAGCCCGUUUCAGAACCUGGGGAGGAAGAGAUACCAGCUGGAACCAGGUCAGCCAGCCCCUCCAUGGAGGAAGCACAGCCGGGCCUGUUUUCCCUGAGCUCCGGAUAACUUGGGCGGAGGCUGCGAGGGCGACUGGAGCCGCGGGGAUGGAGAGCGGGUCGGAGGAGGGCUCCUGCUUCCCAGCAUUGAAACAGGAGCCCUCUGAGAGAAAGAGAUAUUGCAUGUGGCUUCCCUGACGCCUUGGAGGGCGACGUGGAUGACACAGCAUCAGCCGUUCCCUCGCGGGGUGGGGACACGGUGGCGGUAGGCGUCUCCGCCAUCCGCGGGCCCUCUCGGGCCGGCAGUCCCCGCUGGAGCAUCAGCUGUGGGGCGUGGGGAAGGCAAGGCGGCCAACGUCGAGGCGCGUUGCGUGCUUGGUAGACGGAGAGCCGCCGCGGCGCGGCGCGGGCCCACCGGUCCCCACCGCAUCAUGCCUGGGAGCCAAGCGCCCCGCCGGGCCAUUUUAUAUUCACUGCCACACGCCUGGCACCUGGUGCUCUGUCAGUACUGGACAAAGGAAUGGAUGAGGCGAGGGUCAUUUUACCUGUGUGGCAGGUGAGCCGUUGAGACAGAGCAGUUGGGUGACUUCGUAGGCACACACCGUGGUUGAAAACGACUUUGCUUUUCACACUGCAGACCUUUUUUUUUCUUUUUUUUUCACUAUGUGGAAUGGGAGUAAUCAGAUCGGUGUCGUGGGAUUAUAGAGCAUGAUAUAAAACACUAUAAAUACCCCAUAUCUGGCCAUGGUAAAUAUCCAGUAAGCAGCGUGGAAGUAUAUUUGUCAUCCGUGGAGACUUCUUUUGGCCCCUACCUUUAUUUUUGGGCAGGAUCAUCCCAUGAAUUAGUAACCUGGAAAUUUGCUAGCAGCUGAAUCUUUAAAAGAAUGCUGAAUCUGUGUUCCUAUCUUUGUUUUACUAUCUAUCAAGUGAUUCAAGUAGUAAAAUUUGUAAAAAUCAGUUCAGCUCUACCCUGGGUGAGUGGUUAUGUCUGGCAAGGUUUGAUUAAACAGUAUUUGCAUCUUCACUUAAAGUCAAGGAGUAUUGUGCUGGAAAGGAAAGGGCCUCAGGGAUCACACUUCCUUUAUCCCCCUUACAUCCUUUUAAUUUACAGGUGAGGAAAUGAGGGUGGCAGAGGGGCAAAGGUAGAGCUGGGCGCGGAUUUGGGUUUUGAGUGUUGGCUGCCCUGAGAUGUCAGCGCACCCUGCCAAUUCUGGGAGCCGGGGUUUUUGUCCUCCAUGGGCUUGUCUUAACACUAGCGUGGUGGAGCCACAGUUGCUCCUGCUAUGAUGUUAGCGAGCAGAUUAUAUCAAUAAUCCACCACAGGCUGGUAAAUCAAAAUCACACUCCUGUUCAAACACUCUCAUAAAAGGAUCGUAUUCACGGUAGAUAAUUGGCAAGUGUGCCAUUACUCCAGGAUUACACAGGAAAUAGUCCUAAGGGUUAAACAUUAGUGUUCCCAUUAGAUUUCUGAACUAUUUUGGUGCACAUAGGACUUACAUUCACUGAGGCAAAAUCUAGAUGAACUGAAGGGGGAAAAAAAGAAAAAUAGAAAAGAAAGUCAAAUAAUUUCUUCCCUGAAGUCUGAGGUGACCAUUGUAGAUAGGUUACUAUAUAGCUCCUCCUAGAUGGUUUUUUUAUUGGAUGUAGCAUGUGCUGCAAAAAUGAGAUCUGUUUGUGGGCAAUAGACACUUUAUAUGCCUUUAAUUUAUACUGUAUCUUUCCAAAAUGUAAUAUGAUACGAUAAGUCUUUUUGCGUAUGUUAAAAUAUUCUUUGACAUGAAAAUCCUAUUGUUUUGGGGACCAGGUCAAAGGCUACCGUCUUCAUUACUUUGCCUUCCUGGGACUCUCAUAGGAAAGUCAGGAAAGAUACUUUCUUAGGAUAAAUGAAGUCAAUCUAGGAUUAAAAUUUUUACUGGAAAUUGUAACUAUGUAGUUAAUAGAAAUGGGUUUAUUUUUUGGAUAGCAUGUAAUCUACUGUCUUUUUACCACAAACAAGUGAGAGUCAAACUUGGGGUUGCAGGUAUAUCCAGACCCUGAGUUUGAUCCUCAGCACUGGAAAUAAAAAAAUAAGGGGGGAAUUAAGGGAAAUGUUUUUAUAGUGCACUGUGUUGUGGAUAUUCCCAGUGGCAUGAGAUGUUCUAAUCAGUGUCAUGUUAUUUGGAUAUUGUACAGCAGUUAUUCCCCAUCUUUUCAGACAUAAAGACCUCUUUUAACAUAAAGAUAAAAUUUCCAAACCAAGUAUGAUUGAAUCAUAUUUUUAGAAUGUUUGGAAGCUUCAAUGACAAAAAACUUUUAAUAACUUUUUAAUUAUAAUGUUCACUUUUUUUGUUUUGUUUUGUUUUUUUGUGCCAGGGAUCGAACUCGGGACCUGGUGCUUGCGAGGCAGGCGCCGGAACCACUGAGCUAAAUUCCCAGGCCAAUAACUUUUUAAUUAUAGCAGCAUCUUUUUUACGCUUGCAAAGUUAUAGUACAUAUAUGUGUAAACUUGAUGUAGGUGCUUGCUGAAUAGAUAAAUAAGUGAUUCCCUUGAAAUAACUCCCUGGAGGCCCCUGCCCUUGAGGAAGGCAGGUCUUGAAUAUGAAUAACUCCCAGGUCUAAUGUCAGGAAAAUAAUGAUCUGUUCUGAACUGCAGGUGGAAUUCAUUAACUCCAGGAAUGACUACAGUCACCAGUCACAGAGGAGCUGAAGGCCAUUGUGUGACAAGUUAGGAAGAGGUUUCUGCUCCCACCUGCUCGGCCACUGGCAGCCAUGCAGCCCUCAACAACGUCUCCGUGUCCUCAUUUCGAAAGAGAACUAGAUUGAAUUCAUUACAUGAGAAGCAUUUCAGCAUACCUCUGACAUAGGUCCCUUGGCCUUUUUAAUUAUCUGUGGUGGUCUAUUAGAGAAGGAACUAGAUUCAUCUAGAAGCCUAAGUCCUAAAGCCGAGCCCAAUCUUGAUUAUGGUUAAUGAAAUACUUUAUGCCUUGUUUUUUCCAUCCCUGGAAUGGGCAGAGUGUAUUUCUUGUAACAUAGUCUCAGGAAGUGACAUAAUGAUGCCCACAGGCAGUAUUUUUUUUUCUCUUUUUAAUCAGCACAAGCAAACAGAAAAACCUUUGUGAGGAUAUAAGCUAUUGUCCUUUCACAUGAAGGAAAAGUACCAUAAGUCUAGGGGAAGUCUGAGCAUCCUGAAAGCUGCUUUAGGGCAGGCCUGCAGCUGCAAGACCAUCCAGUGGAGUGAGGCCUUCUUCCAGGCCUUCCUUAACCAUUCUCCUGUGGUUGUAUUUUCUUCUUUUUAAAAUGGAUGCCGGGAGCAUGUUGUGGUUAUUUACCGGUGGUGCCUCUUCUGUCACUAUUCUUGGUUUCUGACAGCAGUUGUUGCUGCUUAACUUCCCAAGAUGGGGUGGGAGAGGCAGCUGUCUGUCUCUGGUCUGAUGUCUGCAUGUUAUCUGAAGGGAGAGACGUGGCCAGAUGUGGUGGUGCCCGUCUGUAGUUCCAGCACUCUGGAACCCUGAGGCAGGAAGAUUGCAAGUUCCAGCACAGCCUGGGCAACUUAGUGAGACCUUGUCUCAGAAUUUUAAAAAUGUCGGGCGUGGUGACACACGCCUAUAAUCCUUGCACUGUGGGAAGGCUGAAGCAGGAGGGUAGCUGUGAGUUGGGGGCUAGCCUGGGCCACAUAGCGAGACCCUGUCUCAGUUCUACCUUUUUCUAGGAGCAGAUAUUUUAUUUACACUGUAGGCAGUGUCUGCAUAUUUCCCAGAAGCAUUUAAUGUCUUUGUUUCAAGCUUUUAUAGCUUUUUCAAGUUGCUGCAGGGAACCUGCAAUAGUUUCUUAGCAAAGGAAAGUGGACAGUAAGUACCUGCACGCUGAGCCCAGGUACAAGCAGGGCUUGGGAAGCCAGUACCCCUAAAAGAUCAUUUUGUUGUACAAAUGCUGAAGCUGGAUUUUUUACAACACAUGCCAAAAGAAUGACUUUCAUGAAAUGGACCUAGGCAAAGAGGUGGCAGGUGGCUAGGGUCAGCUGGCCUCAGUUAAAGUGCUGUGGCCAUCUGUAUAGUAAGACCGGUACCUCCUCCGCCUGGUACUCAGCUGGGUGAGGCGCCACGGCCCAGAUCACAGGCCCUGGUUACUCCUGAGGGACACAGACCCCAAAGCUUUCUCCGGGUGGAAGCCAUCCAAACAUAACUUCAGGAAUUCCAAAGCAAUGUUAUUGUUCCCAGUCUAGCAGAAGUCUGAGUUGAAAUGGGUCCCCAUUAGUGCCUUCCUUUUAUCUUUUAUUGAUGACUGUAAUCACAGUUUUUUAAAAGAUAGAAGUGAGCUAUAAGUGAUACCUUGAGGAUUUUUGUUUAUUGUGAAGUAUAGUUUAAUUGUCUGGGGGUUUUCUCCUUGACUAGCUUGCUUCGGGUCCCACCGAGUAGGUAAUAUGGAGAAAAUGAGAGAUGUCUGAGCUCUUUGUGAGAGAUGUUAUUUGAGGGGAAGGGGGUGUGAAUAUAUAAUAAACUUAGAAAUAACAGGUAAAGUUUUCUCUGAACCUACCUACCUUCUUGAACAGGAGAAAGGGUGAUUUUUAGGUGUACUAGUGCACAAAAUAAUGAAUAAGAGUCUCUAAAGACAUUUCAAUCUAUAAACAGCAUAAAUAUCUUUAUUCAAAAUGGAUUGAGUUCUGAAGCCUGAUGCCUUCAAGAGUACAGUAUUAACAAGCGGCUCUUAAAAGCCUGUCGUUAAUCAAGCAUGUGUUACCCUCAGAGUUUUAUUAAAAAGGUAUGCAUCGGUUCACACCCUCCUUACAGGAGGGUCAGUGUAACAGAAACUUGACAGACAUGUUGAGGAGGGGAAAGAGAUCAAACCACCUUGGCACCUGGCCUCUUCCUUUCACUUCCUUACCCAGCUCUGCCCCUUUGAGAUGUUCUUCCAGAAGGCAGAGGAAGCUGCUGCACUUGGGGUCAUCACCCUGGAUCUGGCGGCGGGAGUGGCCCAGCACUGGGAGUUCCUUCCCCAAAGCCUGGAGCUGACUUGCCACUUUUAGCUGUUGUCAGGAGGUGGGCAGUACUGUUCCAACUUUCCCAGAAGGCCAGGGAAGAGCAGGCAGGAGCAGGAAGGGACUGAAACUGCAGUGGCUUCCUUGAUGCUUCUCUCUGCCCCUGGGGUGUGGGGAGCGAGGGGAUAGGAAGUUGGAAUCCGGAGGAGAGGGUUGGGGGUACAGACCCGGCUGUGGUUAGUAAGCUGUCAUUUGACUGUUGGUUUCUUCUCUUCAGAUGUUGGCAUUCGGGGAAUGCAUUUGAUAAAUUUAUAGUAUGCCAUCACGAGUAUGAUGAUAUGCAUGUGUAUUUUGGGGUGCCAGAUACACAGGCAAAUAAAACUUAAGCCAAAUGCUAAGGUAGUUACUGUUUUACUGAUGAACUGAAACUAGCCCAACUGGCCCAGUUACUUGAGUCGUUGGCUGAAAGUACUCUAGUUAGUGAUUCUUGUUUGGUAUCCCUAAAAACAAAAAGCACUGGAAAGGUGCAGCACUGGAUGAAGGAAGGCAAGGCUGUGGCUGAGCUUCACUCUGUGGUGCUGGGAGGAGAGGUUGGAAGGAUGGGAGUCACUUUGCCUUGGCCUGACUCCUCCUCUUCCUCUCUGGGCCUGGAGCUGCAGCCUCAGCCUUCAGAGUGGCUGCCUGAUGCUAGGCCCACGGCUGCAUUUCAGUGUCUCUCGCCAGUUUCCAGUGUCAUCAGUCAUCACUUCCAGAGUUCCUUUUCCUUUUCAGGGGUACCCAGUCUGACCGUUCAGCUCCUUUUCAGUAGCCCUUCUCACUCACUUAUGCCCAGUCAGGAAGAUUAAUAAUGUGACGUGAUUUACUGUCACUGAAAAAGAAGCAUUAGUUAGCUAGACUUUUACACCUCAGUCAGAUGGUAUUAGACACCCUCUGUGCACUUUAACUCAAGGAUGUUAAAGACCUAAAUCUUUGAGGUAAGGAAAAAAAGGAAGAAAAAGGACAGGCACUUUUCCAAUUGAAGCUGCAUGUUGGUCCAUGUUAAUUAGGCAUUUGUCCCUUGGUCUUGAUGUGAUAGAAAAUGCCAGUUACUGUGGUAUUUAACUGACAUCAAACUCCUGUCCAAAUAAUUCAGUUGGGCCCAGCCUUCUCUCUUAAUUGGUGGGAAGGAAAACUUCGGCACACACCCAAAAAAAAGAGGAAACUGUUACUUUCGUUGGACAUUUAAAAAUUUUAUUCUGAAGGGGCUGAAGAAUACGUGUUUAUUUUUUAAAUUAACUGCCCAUUUGAGCUUUUAAAAAACAGUAACAACCAGAAUCUCCUCUAAAACUCGAGCCCCUCGAAAUGAUUAGCUUUGGUUAAGUCUUCAGUAAAUGACAGUUUAGUAAUUAUUGUUAGCCAAAGUCAAAAAGUAGUUAUUGCUGUCCCCUAUAAGUUAUGUAUGUAUUCUGGAAACUGACAAUGUUCUAGGCUACACGCAGAUUUUUAAAAUCAAUACUGGAAAUUCAUAAAUAGGUUAAGGUACCAAGCAAUUUAAAAACCAAUAUUUUGUGGCAUAGUAAAAGAAGAAUGGCAUGAUGGUUUGGUAGGAGUAAUUAGAGGAAACAUGCCUUUUUUUAAAAAGCAACUUUUUCCUAGGGGUUAGAGAAGGUAAUCCCUCAGUGACAAGAGUAUAGUUUUCCUUAGUCAUAAGGUAUCUAAAACAAUUUCAAAAAUAAUCAAAAGAUUUUUUUUUUUCUAACCAGGGCUAUACCCUUAUUCCACUUUCAACCUCACUCUGUGUAUGGUUUCUAGCCAAAGGUUCACACAUUGGUGAGUGCUUCAUUUUUAGCUCUGAACUGCCUUUUGGUCCCUGAAUGAAUUUAAUAUGUUAACACUCCUGCACAGCCCAGAAUUGCUUGGCUGCCCCUUGCCCUGCCUGCCUGGUACUGGCUGAAAAGGUACCAUUGUUUGUUCUGCAAACACUGGGUGAUGUUUGUUUCCAAGGUGACCGAUUCUAUUGCUGCGCUUUAGGCAAGGGUGGGUAAGGAAGAGAGAAAGUUGCCUUUAAAACACCUGAGAGCAUCCCAUUCUGAAUAAUCUGUGUCUGUGUAUAUGUGUAAGUUGAAAUUUUAUUUUAAUUGAGGUUAUUGGAGAAAAAGGGGUAGUGUGGCAAUGGAAGAAAAAAAGAGCUCUGAUUCUUAAUUCAAUACAGAGUGAAUGUAAUGAGAAGAAGUAUUAGAAUUACUAGAAGUUAGCUGUUGACAUUUGGAAAACUAAAGAGGGGAAGAAAAAUAUUUUAGAUAACUGAAAUGUUUUCUUUUUCCUUGAAAUAGUUCUUGGCUAUAAUAUAUAUGGCUGUUGAGGUAAAUGUUUCAGAGUAUAAAUAAAAUCAGUUAUGAUAAGGUAGAUGGGCCUUCAAAGAGGUGUGAGAGAACAUGAAAUACAGAUGUUUCAGUUUUAAAUUCUGUACAAAACAAUGUUUUUAGAAGAAUCUGUGGAGCCAUUGAGGUUUAUUUGUGUAAAAGAAAAAAAUUCCAAAGAGAUGACAAAAUAGAUGAAGAGCAUCUUUUCAUGGGCAAUAUGUAUUAUUAAACUGGAAAUUUGGAUUUUCACAUCUUUCUCACAAGAGAUUUUAGAUUUCAAAAUAGAAAAAUAAAAUUACUCUUGUUCUAACCCCCGCUCCCUUUAUAGUACAUGGAUGCCGUUAGCAGAACUUUGCCUUUUCACUCCUAUCGGGUUUAGUACAGUUCAUGCACAGGUUUCAGUAAACAUUAACUACUUUUAUCAGGGCUUGCAGUGUGCUGAAUGGUUAGCAAAGAGUGUGCUGUAAGAGACAGAUGAAAUUGAGAGAGUCCAAGGUCACAUGGAUUUUUUUUUUUUUUUUAAUUAUGGAGAAUUUAGAGGAGAGAAAUCAGGUUUCACACUUGGAACUGUCCUCUCUGUGGGCCCACUACAAGGCUGCUUUGCCUAACAUUUUUACAUAUUGAGACUCAUACAGGUUUGUUCAGAUGCUCCACCUGAGUGGCAAGGCAAGUAAUUUUGAUUGCUUUUUCUUUCCUGUCAUAUUUUUUUAAAGGUCAUCUGUGUUCAGGGCAUCUUCUAAGAUUAGUCUCAAGGCCCCCUCAAAGAGUUAAGGCAGCAUGUGUCAUGGUUAUUCUGAAGUUCCUUCUGGAAUCUCACUUUAUUCCUUUCUCAAGGAUAAUUCGAGCUGGCCGUCUGAUUGUCAAUUUGCUUCCCACAGUCAGCACAGUAACUCCGCAAACCAAGUGCUAGAAUAAAGUGUUGCCAAAUAUAGAAUAAAAAUGCAAGUUUUAGGUAUCCUGUAAUACUCCCGAACUUUUGCCUGCGUGUCGUUCUGGAAGACAGGACUGUGAUGGGUGCUCGUUUUCGCAGAGAGCGUGCCCGAUUCAGACUCGACUGGGAGGUGCGAGGCCGAGACAGCGGGGCCGCGGCCCCGACCUGCUGCCCGCGUGGGGCUGGGGUUUCGCCUGCGCCGGCGCCCGCAGGAGCCAGCUUGGGCAAGCUCUUCCGAGACAAUGUCCUUUUAAACUCCAAGGCCUCAGUUUAAGCUUCCCAAGUGCUGUGGGAUCCUGAGCUCUCGCCAGGUUGCUGCGCGCCGCCGGACCCUGCAGCCCUGGAGCUCUGGCAGGUGGCCCGCCGGACGUGAGAAGGACGCCACCCCCCAGAGACAGGCUUGCUGGGGGCGGCCACUGUACUCCGGGAAGGCAGUCGCAGCAGCUACUUGUUCGCAUAGAGCAAGGCGGACGGCCGGUCAGCGAGGCUCUGGUAGCCAGAGCUGCUCCGCCGCUUGCUCGGCCGCUUGCCCCACCUUGGCUCCCGUAGUACGCGCCCAGCUAGUGGGCUGCGGGGCCGUCCAUCAGGAUGGCGGGCGCUGAUUUGCCGGCUGGCCGUUGGGGCGGGAUGAGGGCGGAGCUCGGCGGCGCUGGCGGCGGCCUUCGCCUUCUGCGGCGUCUUUCUCAGACCUUGACGCGCUCUCCUGGGCGGCAGCUGCGCUGGCCCUUUGGCUGCUCGAGCAACAGCCCAAUGACACUGAAGGUUUUCAGGAACCCCUUUAGCCGCUGGGUUUAAAAAAGAAAAUUCUCAGGGGGGAAUUAUAAAAAUGAGUGUACCUUGAGCGAGUCCCCCUCUUUUGCUAAUUUACCUCCAGCCCACUUAAGUGUUCAGAAGUUCAGCGUAGGCGUGAACUUGCCCGCUAGCGUUUUGUAUUUCUUUCCCAGAACAAGCCCUCGUUAAAAACGUUGGUUUCCCUGCUGGCCGUUUUGGGGUGAAAGCAGCACAUGGCCUGCGAGUGCCCCCCGAAGCCUGCGGCGGGAUGCAGAGGGGCCCGGGGGUGGCCAAGCCGCUGCCCUUCCGGACCCUUCCUCAGAGACCUUGUCUGAAGUGGCCCACACACCCUCCUUGGUGCUGGGCACUCCCUGCCGUGCUCCAGGUGGAGCCGUGUGCCCGUCUGCCCCUCUCCUGAGAGUGCAGCCUGUGUUCCUGCCUUGUCCGAGCGCUGUUGCCGGUCUCUCCUCCAAGAUCAGCACCAUUGGAAAAGUGAGCCCAUUUACCUGGAUGCCACAUCUUGAUGUUCUCUGUACUCAAAGCACAUCCCCGUGGGGACAACAUCAGCCCUGCUCCUGAUGGCCAGAGGCCACCUCCCGUGGAGAUACCUUGUUACGGUGUACCCUGUCCUACCUGCGUCCUGGGGUCAGCCUUGACCCUCUACAGGUGCUGUAUGAACUGGCAUCUCUGUGUCAUGUGACAAAGACGACCCCGCUGGAGCCAGGGGACACCCACAUUGCCCCAGGGAAGUGUCCCCAGUUCUGCAAGGCACUGUGGUACUGUAGAACCAUGUCAGUUACAUGGCCUGGUCUCGCCACUCUGGGACUUGCCUCAUUUUUGCUUCACUGGCACAAAACCUUUCCCAUACCUUACAAGUCAGGCUCCCACUCCAGGAGAUUCAGAUUGAGCGCCUCUGGGUGAAGGCUGGGAUUGCAUAUUAGGGUUGGAAACUUCUGAUGAGACAGAUGAGUACAUUUCAGCCUCUGGGAUUUUCUGAAACCCUACUGCUAAGAAGGUUAGGAAAUGAUAAGGAAACCCUGAAAUUCUCCUAUGUGAUGCUUGGUCGCUGCAAAGCUGAGCUGUUAAGCAAGGUAUUGUGGGACCUGUGAUAGAACCCUAUAGGCCUUCGGCACAGGCAGGUGUAAAUGCCACUGAUUAAUUUUUUAUGAAGUUGGAGCUCUGACAAUUAUCAGGGAUGCUGAGUAGCUGGUACCAGAUGUGUCUUUUGUUGGGACAUGGAGAGACAGUGUCACAGGUAAUCAGGCUACAGAUGUUUAAUGCCUUGCUCUGAGGCUGUGGGUCUUGGGAUGCCGAAUGUUUUCCUUACGAAAGGAGGAAAGGGUGCACAUAAUGGUUUCUAGUGUGCCUUUCCCUCGCUCGGGCUCCUGGAGUAUUAUCUUCUGUGGAGAUGUUGAUUCAAUUAUCAUUAUGCCCAGCUCCUAUGAGGAGAGGGUAAAAUGGUACGCGGGGCCUCUUUAUCUAGACCGUUUUGCCAGUUUCUGAAGUGACAGCCUGUCACUUCUGAAUUCUAACUGAAUUCAGCCCUUUUUUCACUCCUGCACUGUGAAACAGCAGGAAAGUCAGCCGCUCAUCGUGUCGGGUGCAGACUUUACAGCCUCUGAACAGCCUCUGCUUUUGCAGUCCAUGAAUGCACCAUUUGUUGUUUUGAGCACAACUGUUGGAUACAACUGGCCUCUCAGCCCACUCUGCCUGGGACCAGUGUGCAUCACUGUGGCCUUUUUUUUUUUUUUUUUUUUUUUUUGGCAUAGGCCAAAUUUUUGUUUUAAAUACCACCAUUUUGUCCACAUUAGAAUUUCUUUGACCCAAUUUACAUUUUGCAAAAAUAAGGUUUUAGGGCCAGGGAUUUAGCUCAGUGGUUUCACCGCCUGCUGCAGAAGCGCAAGGACCCGAGUUCAAUCCCUGGUACCAAAAAAUAAAUAAAUAAAUAAGGUUUGAAUUUGGUCAGAAUUCUCUAGUGAUCCUGAAUAAGUACUUUAGUUUAUUAAAGGAAGAGACUGUUUUGUGGCCUUGUUUUGCACACAGGCUUUAAAUUUUUUUUUUCAAAGAACAGUGUAACUUUGAAAUUAUAUUUUAAAUUGACUUGAACUGUUUUAUUUUUAUUUCUAGGUAAUUCAUUGUAUUUCUAUUUGACCUUUUUUUUUUUUUUUUUUUGAGACAGGGUCUCACUAUGUAGUUCAGGCUGGCCUCGAACUCCUGGCAAUCCUCCUGCCUCAGCCUCCCAAGUGGUGGGAUUACAGGCAUGGGCCACCACGCCUGGCCUCCAUUUGACCUUUACACAUCAUCUCUUUGUCAUUAUUGUCUUCAGUUUAGAAUUUAAAGUAGGUCUCAAAUGUUCUUAUAGCAAAAUAUGAAUAUGGGAAGUAAUAUGUUAAUUUGCUUGAUUUAACUAUUUCAUAAUAUAUAUGUGUAUACUGUACAUAUAUACAAGGUUUUUAUUUCAGUGCUAAGGGUAGUGUACUUAAUGGCUCUACCACAGAGCCACACCCCAACCUCACACAUUUUUUCAACUUUAUCUCAAUUUAAAAUGUAUUAAUUAAAAAGUUAGAGUUGUCAAAACCAAACCCUGCAAUAUAAUACUCUCAAAUAUUUCUAGAGUAUUUGUAGGUAACUUUUUCUCCUCUUGAAACAGGGUCUCCUUCAAACUUGAUACCAUUAGCGUUAGAAUUUUUGUUUUGUUUCUCAUGCACAUUUUUUUGGCCCUGUGUAAUAAUAGGUGUGUUAUAUAGUUGUCUACUGUAACAUUAUUACUUCUUUACAUAUUUUAGUGGAAAGAGCAUAUUAACAUCUUUUUCUUCUGUGCUUUGCUUCUUUAACAGCUGCACAAAAUUGUUGUAAUAUUUCUAAGCCUCACCUGGGCUGAGGAAAUGAAUUUCUGUUAAUAUGGCCGUAAACAUCCUAUAGCAACCAGUUCCGCAGACCUUGACAUCUAGAUCUUCCAUAAAUGAAACAGUCCCUCGCUGAAAAUGCAGAAGCUUUCUGUAGUUGAGUUUUUAUCUGUUGUCCUUCAAGCAGAGGCUCUGGGUUGCAUUUGUGUUUUUGCUAGAAUUGGCACAAACUAACACAUUCAGGAGGAAGAGUAAUUUUUUGUGAGUUUCUGCUUUCUUUUUCAUCUCACUGUAUACAGGGAAAGAUCUGACUUUUUGUGAAGAUUAAGUCUCCCACUACCUGAGGAAUCCUUAAGGUUGAUGAGAAGCAACAGGUUAGGGGGAAAUUGAGCUCAUGUUUUAAUGCUUCCUCUGCAAUUUUUUUAUCCCGAAGUCUGUUCUCAUUUUCAGAGCGUGUUUUACAUCUGUGGUAUCCCUCGUUUUGAUGCUUGGUUUUGAUCUGGGCCUUUAAACUGUAUAAAGUUUCAUUGGACUUUCUCCCUUUACCGUAGUUUCUUAUGUGAUUAAUUAGGUGUGUGGCUUAAAAUGGCAACUGAAACAUCUCCAGGAGUUUUCACCAGGUAGGAACUGCUUUUCCUGUACCAGAACCACCCAACUACCACCCAUGCGGCUCAGUUGAUGCUUCUGUUGCUACGCAGGUACAUUUCUGUUCAGGAGGCUGCCCGUUAACCCUAGGAAUGCCUAAUGGCAAGCAGAAAAGAAGAAAAAGAAAAGAACUUUGUGCUUCAUGUUUAUAUAAUGCUUUGUUCAGGUGCUGAAAGCUGGACUCAGCCCAGCCCAACCCCCAGUUACCCAUUUGGGGUGGGGGAGCUGGAGCUCCGGACGGCUGGGGCCUGGCAGUUUCUGCUGGGAAGUUGGCUCCAGUCGCCGGUGACAUCUAUGCUGUAGGAUUCAAAUUGGGGGUUUGCCCUCGCUCGGUAAGGAGUGAGUCCAGACCCUUCCUUUGGGCCUUUCUCUCUCUGUCUGUCUGCCUUGAAUUGAGAGCGGUUGCCGUGUGCAUCCAUUUGCUAGAAAGGAGUUAAGAGAACAUACCGCAGAACAGGUUGGGCAAGACUGUUAAAACCAGUGAGGAAGCCUCCCCCCUUCCUCUCCCUCCUCCUCUGCCCACCCAACUUCUCCCAGGAUGUUAAAACAUCCUCAGACUGCCCCGCACACACACGCCCCCCUCCAGGGUCUGGCUUCCCGUGUCCUCGUCAGCGCAUUCGAUGUGAAUAAAAUACUUUGUGCAGACAGGAGCCUGUGCGCGUGAGAUGGGCAGGCAGCCGGCUGCAGGCCCCAGCCGGGCCAGCUGUUUCUCAGGCGGCGCGGGUGCCCUCCGUCGGGUAACAUAGGCCCCAUUCAGUGGCAGCAUUCUUGAGCAUGCAUGUAUGGCUCUGUGGGCCCGCGGGGUGGACGGCCUGGGAGGGACGCGGAGGCGGGGUUGGAGACGGAAGUGUGUGUGUGUAGUGUGCACGCAGACGGACGGGGAGGCGGUGAGUUGGAGUCACUGCCGAGGGUGCCAGUAAGUCCGGGGACAUUGCUGCCUGAAGCAUCCGCAGUCAGCUCUGACUUGUGGGACGACCAGGGAGCUCUGGGGAAGCCAGUUGGGGGUCUAAGUCCUGCACAGUGCUUGCAUCCAUUCGCUCCAUAAACACCAUAUAUAGUCACGCCUGAGCUCACUAUAGCACAUCGUGGGGAACCCCUCCUAACGCACAGCCCCUCUGGCACUGAGAAGCAGACUCACAUAGGCCAGUCCUGGUGUGCCGGGGCCUGCUUCUUGGGUGGGGGUGGGGGCAUUUUUCUAUCUUUGCGCUAUUUAGAACGCGUUUCGCUUCCUGGCUCUUCUGAACUGUAUUGUUACAGAAGGAGAAACCGAAUUCCCUGUGUGCAUCUGUUUUCGAACAAAAGCCUUGUUUUUCUUAGUAGCUUUAACAUCUCACACAUUCUGUGUUUUAUGGUCCUGGAUCUCCCGCUGUCUGUUUUUGGAGCAUCUUUUCCCUUUGUGAGGAUGAGCUCUGCCCUGUGAUGGGCUUUGCUUGGUGAUGGCUGUAGAGAAGUUGCCUUUGUGUACCACGUGUCACCUUCAGCUGGCCAGGGCAGGGCAUAGCUGCCCGCAGGACUGACGGCAGCCGUUUUCCACUUGGCAGCACUGAGCCUGUGAGCAGGGAAGAGACAGUAACAAGAAAGAAAUGCAGUUGUUGCAGUUGGUUUUCUUCCCGCAUAAAAUAUCUAGGAUACUGCGUUUCAGCUUGGAGUGGACAGCAUAAGGCACUUGUGGCUCAGAUAAGAGGUCUUCUUCCUUUUCUCCCUCUUAUUUCCUUCCCUUCCUCCCUCCAGCCCCUCACUGCCUUUCUUCUCAGGACAUGUUGUGUAGCUGACCCUUGAGAAAAGAUGAUUUGCCGCACUGGGCUAUUAGGGUAGAGAGACAGAAUGGGCACUUUCUUUCCCUGGUCUCCUCCGAGUGAAUUAUGUCUGUGUGUGACAGUUAAUUGUACCAUCCUUCCCCUUUCCUAAGCUGAUAAACCCCUCUCUGUCUGCUUCCAUCAAACCUCUUCGUUUGAGAGGUUCCUAAUGUAGUGGAAGAACAAAGUGACACUUUUCUUAUUUACUGAAUUCUCUCUCAAGCACAUUCACAGUGCCCUUUAUGGUAUUUUUUAUAACUUUAUUUUUUCAACUUAUAGAAUUGAACUAUUUCAAGUAGGACGAGUGACUGAAGUUAAAAUUUCCUCAAAAACAUCAGUAAGUUCGAGGAGAGAAACACACACAGACUUCUAAAAAGCUGUAUGCGUAUUUAUUCCCAAACUAGGUAGAGCACUUGGAAGGUAAUCUUGGUAGGUGAUGUUUAGAAUAAGAAUCUGGGCAUUGCCAGAGGACAAAUUACCAGCACGGAAACGACAACUGAGUGGUAUGCAAUUGACACAGUAGUAAUCUAUCCCCUAUGUGGUGGUCACUUGUUUUCCUUCUUAGGUCCAGGAUAUUCAGUUGAUGAUGUGUAUGUGAAAAGCUAGCAGGACUGUUUUAUUGGGGGAGGGGUGUGCAAAAUAAAACUGUGAAAAGGCACAAAGAUGCUAAGAAAUCCAGGUUGAAACAUGCCUCCCUUUGAUCAUUUAGGCCCUUCUCUUAGCACUAUUCAUUCUGGCUCUGAUCGUCUUGUCUCUCACAUUUCUCAGUCAACAACAAAUUUGAGGCCCCAGUUGGAGGUUGAGGGUGGAGAAGAGCCACCAGACAGCAACCAGGAAGGAUAUCAGGAUGAGACAAGAAUAGCCGGUUACCAUUGGAGGAAAUUGAGCAAACCGAACAGAAGAGCUCUCUGCGUUAUUUCACACAACUGCAUGUACAUCCACAAAGCUGGCGAUAAAACAUAAAAGCAUGGCCCACUAAGGCAAUGUGGGAUAGGGGCAAAAACUAAAGUAGGGGUGUUUGCUGGUUUCCAGAGGCAGCCUUGUGUAAGAGUUGUUCAUUGUGCUGAUCCUGAGUCAUUCCCAGAAGGUUAGAUUAAUCAUACAUUGAUUCACCACACUCUGCUUAAGGGGAUUGGGAAGUUUAAAAGAUGCUGUAGCGUGACCCAGGGGUUUGAGAUGGAAAAUUAAUUUGAGUACCCUCUACCCUAGCAGUGUGUAGCUACUCUAUGAGUUAACAGGAAGUGUUAGAAUUAACCUUCGGGUAUUGUCAAAUAUGUACUAAAAUAUUAUUUUGCCCAGAUUUGUAGAAGAAAACUUAUUUAUUAGCAGAUUUACAUCAUGUCCAGAUACCAUCAUCAAGUUGUUUAUAUGCCUAAAGUGAAUUUUUUUUGUACUUAAAAUUAAAAGAAUAGAGUGCCAAGGAUUUUUACCUUUUUACAAUAGAUGAUAGAGAAGCCCUGUGGAUGCCCGAGUAGUCAGAUAUCCUAGACUACAGUCCUGUAGAAAAGGUAUCCUGAACUAAGGAAGCCUUAGGUAACUUAAAUAUAUAAACAAGUUAAUUUCAAACCAUGAAUGGAUACAUUGGAAGGAAGGAGUGUUUUUUCCUCUCCAUUCCAACUAUAGACUCAUUCUGAGAACCAUAGAAUGCUAGACCCAGAAGGGACUUGAGGGGUCCUGUGGCCUGGUUUUAUCAGUUUGUCUUCAUUUUACUCAUUAUUAUCAGCAUAAAGUAUUUGCAGACAUUUUCAUGGCAAUUAGUGUCGAAAGCUCUCCAGAGCUGCUAACACUUGCUAAUGGUUCUCACACAUCUUGGUUUUAUCACCAUAAGUAUGAUGGAGCAUUGCUGGACCCAAGGUUUUAAUAAUCAAGCUCAUAAAUAAUAUUUACAUUUUAAAAAUUUCAAAUACUUGAAUAUUAGCUUUACUAGUUACUAAGUUUCAUUCAGUUCUUUGCACUUAGACUUGCUGUAAUGCAGUGUUAACAUAUACAUAAGGUUCGUAUAAACUUCUCUUGCUAAUUCAGAUACAUUUUCUCAUAAGGAAAUUGUUGCUUUGAAAAUUUAAUUAGAUUUGAAAUUUGGUUGUAUGAGUCUCCAUGGAAACUGUAACUCCUGAUUGCCAUGCUGAAGGUGGCAGGUAUUCUCUUAACAAUGUAUGCGUUUUUGACAAGCAAGGAUAAUGCAUAUGAAUUACAUACAAGAAAUGGGAAUUAAUUAGUUGUUUGGGUAUUAGAUGCUCUAGGGAGGUGGAAAGGUAAUAAAAACCAGGACUUAGCUGAUCAUGGUGGUGCAUGCCUGUAAUUCUAGCACGCUGGGAUUACUAGGAUUGAAAGUUUGAGCCCAGCCUGGGCAAGUUAGCCAAGACCCUGUCUCAAAAUUUUAAAAAAUACAAAAAGGGCUGGGGAUGUAUCUCAGUGGUGAGGCACCCCUGAGUUCCACCCCCAGUACCACAAAAGCAAGCAAGCAAGCAAAACCAAAAAACCCCAGGACUUCCCAAGAAGUAAGUAGCGUGUCUGGUGUCUGACCCUUGCGGGGGGUCAGCACAAAGGGGACUUAUUGGAGGGAUGUGACGGAGGACUGGAAGAGCUUGCCUUUGAGAUGGGUGACAACCCCUGGAAGUCAUCUACAGCCGGCUGCAGUGGUGACUCGAUUCGAGAGGACCUGCUUGUGACAUCUGCUGAGUAGGCAGAGCCACAGGGUCAGCCUUAGAGGUUGGGGUGGUCAGCCAGUAGAGCUGGCGGCGCCAGAGAGGGGAGCAUGCAGGCAUGGAUUGGAACAGCUGCUGGCCGCCUGCAGAUCAGCCUCUGUGAAUCACAGGCACAGAGAGCUCAUUUGUGCCACAGGGACCUUGGUGGAGAGAGAACAGGAAGGUCCCGUCCUCGUCCCCCCGCCCCGUGCUCUGAUGCCUCCAGAGCAUUUUCUAGACAUUGCAUUGAAGUGUUGGGCAGUUAGCAUGUCAGUCCAUAACAUGCAUUGUUUUUUUAAACACAGUCCUAAUCUUUCAUUUAAAGUAAACGGAAUUAGUCUGCUUUCAAAGUUGACUAAAAUCAGUUUCACUAGACAUCAUGGGUAGUUUAUAGGGAGGGGAGUGGGGACCCAAAGAGAAUUUACUCAAUUGAUUUUAGAUUGUUAGAGGAUUGAAAUGUUACUUGAUUGCUGGUUUUAUCCAGGAUUUUGAGAUUUUAAGGAAAAGUAGACAAUGCCUGCUUUCAUCCAAGGGAUUCCAGCAGUCAUAUGAGCUAUAUGCCAGCUCCCGAGGGCAGCGGCAGCCGGCAGCCUCUGCUACACAAUCCUGCAGAAAGGAGCUUCAGAGUGGGUGGGAUGUGCUGGCUUGGGGGCCGGGCGUUUGCAUAAUGCUGCCCAUCUCAGGGUUGUGAUGCACGAAUGGGCUAGAGUUUAUUUGGGUGCAGAUUGGUAGAGCUUAAGGAGGAGGCAACACUAGGAAGGCCAACUGGGAGCAGCAGUUUUCUGUGGCACCUAGGAGAAGCUGCCCUAGGACAGGCUGGGGACAGGAAUCAUCUUGUUUAGCUCUCAAGAAGAGGUAACUGAUAGGUGGACAACAUAUAGGAGUCUGAAACCACAAACCUCCCUAGGCAUAAGUAAAUGGAAAGGGGAUUUGAGCUAUAUAAAGGAUGCCAUUUAUAAACUCCCAGAAAUUUCCUUGUAGCUUGACCCCUGUCUUGUGAUGAACAUGACUAUGGUAGAAAGAAACUGAACAAGUUAAAUCACAAAACCCCUACAUGGCAUUGCUUUUAUAUGGCUUUCAGUCUCUGAACAUUGGCUGUUCCAGUUGCCGAUGGGCACGCACAGGCUCUGAUUUGAGGAGAGAGCAUGAGUGGUAUGAAAUCACCUGGCUGAGUGACAGGGACUGCAGGGGCCCUGUGGGAGAGUACCAGCAAGUCGUGAUGCUAAGUUUUCUUUCUUUGUAUGUUUAAUAAUAAAUUUAUCUUAAUUGCCCAUUACUGCUUUCUCUAGUACUAUUCUAAGAGAAUGUUCCCCAUGUUAGCCCCUUACGAAAAGUAAAGAAAUAAUCCUGUUUUAAGGUGUACAUGGAGACUUUAUUGGUUUCCCUAACAUCUUAAAAUUAACAUGUCGUGUGAUGUUUUGGAGAAGUAGACCGUCUCUCUUGGAGGCUACGGCAAGAGGAUCACAAGUUCAAGCCCAGCCUGGGCGACUUAGGGAGACCUUGCCUCAAAAUGAAAAGGGCUGGGGAUGUAACUUGGCACAAAGUCCCAGGUUCAGUCUCUAGUAUUUACAGAAAAACAAAACGUAGGCCCUCACUAAUGCUAAAUUUUUGUUUUCUUUUUUCUUCCUUUUUUUUUGGUCCUAAACUGGGUUCAAGUGAUCCUUCUGCCUCAGCCACCUGAGGAUCUGGGACUACAGACUUGGCCUAGGUUUUUAUUAUUUUUAAAUGACUUGAAAAGAGAAAAAAAAUCCACUCACCAAAAGUAAGCAACUCACAGUGCUGAAUAGCUAUAAAAAUGUUAGAGAAAUUCACCUUUCAGCAUUGAGGCCUUUUUAUUUUCAACUGAUUUUACAGUUGAGUUGUAACUUGUGACCCAGUGCAUUAUGUGAGUGUUGACCUUUCUGCAGGGGAGCCAGAUGUGCGUACCUAAAGGGAUGGAAUGUGACACACCCCGACAACAAGACCUUCAAGAGGCCCUCGAACUUGAAAAGGCCAGAAAGGCCAGAUGCAGUGAGAUCCUUCAUCUUGGGGCUGAGUUUCACCAUUGCUGGGUAGGGAACCAAAGCCACGGAGUUCCUCAGGAAAAGACUUUAAAGUGUGGGCUGCACAGGGGCUGCUCUCUUGCUCCCCACUUUGCAGAGCACCAGGGAGAAUUCUAGCAGGAAGCUCUGCCCCUCGGAGAAGAGUUGGAGCGCAGAUCCUCUCUGGAGUCCUGGGUGCCCUCCAGGAGGCGCUGUCUUCAUCUCGAGCCCCUGAGGUGCUCUGGGGUGCUGUUCCGUAUUCACUUUCUUUCUCCCCUCCGGUUCUCGAAGUUUGGUCUAUUCCCUAAAUUUUCUAGUUUCAGGUUUUUUUCUCCCACCUGUUCUCCUGGGGUUUGGACCUAGGGCCUUGCUCAUGUUGAGCCACACCUCCACUUCCCUAACAGGUUGUUAGUCAAGGUAUUUUAGAUCAGCGCUUCCCGAUUUUUUGGCAUUAGGGACAACUGUAGUUUUGAGGAAGCCAGUGUUUCUACAAACUAGGGGGAGGGGAUGUUUUAUUUAUUUUAUUUUAGUUUCUUUUUGCAAUUAUUAUAUUUCCAAUAUAUGAUAGUUACAUUUCCCAGCACUACCAUCACCACCUCAAGUUGUCAGUCACUAGGUUCUCAUAGGAAACCCAAAACAACCCUUUUAUGUGUAGUUCACAGUAGGGUUCAAGCUCCUAUGAGGGUCUAAUCCCCACCCCCAUUUGACAGAGGUGGAGCUUGGGAGACAGCGGGCACAUGAGUGAUGCGGAGCAGCUGGAAGUGCAGAUAAAGUGGCCCUGGCUGGCCCACCGCUCACCUCCUGCUGUGUAUCCCAGUUCCUAACAGUCCACAGACCUGCACUAGAGCCCAUUCUAGAUUAUGGUUUAUUUUAGCUCUUCCCUAUGUGUGAGGGGAGAGGCGGUGGUAAUUUUUGUUAAGAGGAGACUUUUUGUAUUUCAUUCCAAAAUAGUCUGGUAGGUGGUGUACUGUGGACAGCUUCUUACCUGUCUGUUAAAUUAUAAAAUGUUCCUAAGAUAGCUAGAAAAUGCUGAUGCUCUUUUCUCUGUUUGGACAAAAAGGAUAUCAAUCCACAUAUAAUUAGAUAAAAUAGAAACCUGUACUCUUGGUGUGCUGGCAGAAGCUGAAAUAAAGUGAGAGGCGUCCAGUAGUGAGAGAGGCGCCCUGUGUACCGUCAUCCCCCUAAGUCCACAGAACAUCAGCUCCAGCCCUCCCUGGGCACCAGGGAUGCUCAGGGGCUUGGUUUAGAGUCACCUAGUAUUUGCAUGUAAGCUACACACAUCCUCUGUAUGUGCUGACUCAUCCAUCUGUAGAUGACUCCUGAUAUCUAAUACAGGGCCUGCAGAGCACUGUGGUCACGUGAGAAUAGUGGGGUGCUUCAGCACACAGCAGGGUUUUGGAACUUUUAGGGUCUUACUAUGUAGCCCAGCCUGGCUUUGAACUCAUGGUGAUCCUCCUGCCUCAGCCUCCCAAGUGCUAGGAUUAUAGGCAUGUGCCACCAUGCCCAGCUUCACUUUUUGGAAUUUUCUGGAAUUUUUUGUGGUUGAAUCUGAUGUGGUACCUGCAGGUGGACAGGACUGACUGUAUAUGCUUUGUUUCCUAGGGCUCUCGAUCAAAAUCCUUCAAUGUAUUUACAUAUUUUCAGUAUUUGUUUUCUAAAUUAUUAGCAGUUGUUUCAUAACUGUAUUGCAGCACAAGGAAUUUUUACCUGUGAUGAGAAACAGACCUAAAAUGGGAGGUUUAGAAAAAAAUCUGUUUUGGUAAGUAGAAAUAAAUGAGAAUAGGAUAGGGUAGAAAUCCUGGCUAACUGAUUUUAUAAAAUACAUCCUAUGUGCAUCGAUAGGCUGGCCUUAAUAAAACUGAUGAUGUGGCUAUCCAUGAUAUAAAGAUGAUAGGCUUGUUUAAUUCAGGUUAGGCUAAGCUAUGCUGAGGUAUCAAAUAAACUUUGAAAUCUAAGAGGCUCAGCCAAUAAAAUGUCAUUACGGGGCUGGGGAUUUAGCUCAGUGGCUCUGCCGCCUGCUGCGCAAGCCCAGGGACCUGAGUUUGAUCCCCAGUACCAAAAAAAUACAAAAAAAUAAAAUGUCCUUAUUUGUUCAUAAGUAGGGCUAGCUUGCUCCCCAGCACACUUCCUUCCAAAGCCGCAGCUGGGGAUCCAGGCGGUGGUCAUCUUACAGCGAGCUCCCCUGCAGUGCGCGUGCUUCCAGCCGGCCACCGCCAGGAGAGGCCAGGUGAGACUUUCAGCUUUGCAAACCUUCAGCUGGAAGUGAUGAGCAUCCAUUGUGCUCGCAGCCGGUGGGGCAGAACCAGCCCUGUAAUCCGCCUGACCGUGGCGGCCAGGAGUUUUGGGAAGUGUGGAAAUACACGAGGCUCCUCUCUGGGCAGCGAACCAUCGCUCCACUCAUCUCACCCUGGAAGGCUCAGGGCUGAAGCCCAGAACAUAAUGAGUCCACUGUUCAUUGAGCUACACUUACCAGAAUGUGUCCCCAUGCCGGUAGCAGGGCACCAGGGAACAUGCUGGAAACAGAUUCUUAGGACCUUCUCUGCUUUCAUAGAAACUCUGGACGGUGUAGCUCAGUGGUAGAGUGCUUGCCUAGUGUGCGUAAAGCCUUGGGUUGAUCCCCAGCCCUCCAAAAAAAAAAAAAGACCCCCCCCAAAGGUAGGGCCCAGGAAUCUGUCACACUAAGUGUUCCCCUUGCCUAAAGUUUGAAAGUGACUUCCUGGGUGAAGCAAAGCUCCUCAAGACCUGUUGGACUCAUGAUUGGUGCCAUGAGCUUGAAGCAUUGGUGGGCACUUGCUAGUGUGCACACCCAGGAAAUGCGUGUACAGGAGCACAUAAAAUAGCAAGUACUUGUAUGGCCUUCACGGCUGCUGCUCACGUGCUUCCCACAACAACAUAUAAAGUAGGUAUUGUCAAUGUCCCAUCUUACAGCCAAGGAAACUGAGGCACAGAAAGGUUCCCUAAGUAAGGGCACGUCCCAGGGUCAGGGCACUUAGCAUAGCUGGCAAGUGACAGAGAUGGGAUUUGAACCCAGGCCACGUGGCUCCAGAGUCCACUCCAUAGCUGUUUUGCAGUUCAGCCUGCUGAUCUUUGGAUGGCAACACCCCAGGCCCUGUGGUAAUUUUCUCACUUUUUCUUUAAUGCAGACAGUCUGAGAAUUAGCAGGAAGUGCAGAGCACGGGUGACAGACGGUUCCAGUUUAAGUUCAGCCGUCUUCCCUCGAGCUUCAUUCGUUGGCGGUUUACAUGUGAGGUGGGGUGGUGACAGUGUUGGCCAGCGCUGGGUGUGCAAGGCCAGACAGAAGUUGCCCAGUCUUUUAGAACUGAGCCACAAGUAGAAUGGGCUUGUUAGAGGCAGGACCGAGGAGCUAGUGGGAAGCGGUUUCUCAGCCUUAGGUAUUCCAGGCACAAUAUGAGAACAUCUCCGUGUAACCCGUGUGCCGUCUCCAGGUGUAGGAGAGAGGCCCUGUUAGCCUUCCCUUCCCUUUUGAUUCUUCUCUGGCCCUUCAUUUUCCUUCCUCCAUCUGCCAUCUGAGGCCCAGUUCCAUCAGGUGGACUGCUCAAGGUUUCUCUUAUGAGCCAGACUCUAGUUUUAAUAGAGGAAAUGUGUUUUCCAGGAAAUGGGAUAAAAAAGUGUUCUCUCCCUUCCACUUGUGAGAGUUAGAGGGUAUUUAAUCAUUUGAAUUUUGAACCCAUCAAAAGUUUCUAAAUGACAUUGGGAUCUGCUUGUUUCCUUGCCUUCUUCUAUAAUCUGUGAUUAGCUUGCUGCGUUUUCUUUCUUCCAGGUGGAUCUGUGAUUCGUUGCUGUUUAGGUUCCUUGCUGGCCAGUGUGUUUCCUUGGCAGCUUUGCCAGGACAGUACCGGCUUUGACUCUAGGUAGGGGAUAAAGAUAGCAUCACCCCUUUUGGGUUUCAUGUUGGCUGGGAACAGCUGCCAGGCUUUGUGUAGCCCCGAACAUAACAUUUCAUUCCUGAAUUGCUGAAAUUUUUAGUUUUUGGCAAGCCAGUUUUUAACCAUGGGGUUCUGACAUUCAGACUCAGAGUGUAGAAUUUUUCUUUGAGAAAUACUGCUUGUCUUGGCAAUUUAGUAGUGGACAAGACCGAGGUGGUAGAGAACAGAGCUGCAGAGUGAGAGGGAGGAGGCUAUUUGCAGAAGUUGUUUUAAAGCUCUGUGCACUUCUCACUUGAAAUGGUUCGAUUUGCUUAGGUACUGCAACAGAGGUGUAGAUAAUUGAGGGAAAUCUUGCGUCAAAUCUAAACAAAAAAAGAAAGAACUGACCUAAAAGUGAGCAGCCGAACUCACCCGAAUGGAAUCACAGAUUUGCCCAGACCAGCUGAACCUGAGAGAACAGGCCAGCGGCAUGGCACUGCUUGUGGGGGACCUUGUGCCCCUCUGAGAGGGACCCCAGGCAGUCCCUGUGGGUCUCCUGCAGCAUUCUGUACCAAGCCACGAAAAGAAAAUGGGAAAGCCAUUUGGAGCUGUGUUUUGGGAGGAUGUUUUCCCUCCCCUGGGAGACCCGGCACCUUGGAUUGCUUGCUUACUGUUUAGAAGAAGAGCUACGUGUGUGAAUUGGGAAUCAGUUGAAAACAAGUGACAGCCCUGCCUCUGACCCCUGAAAUAUAAGAUGCGCCCUCUGAAAUAGCAGUUUUCCUCCAGCUCUCCAGGGUAGGAAGCAGGAUGCCACAGGCACCCUGAGUGGGAGGGGCAGUCAGAAGCCACUUAGCUGCUCCGUGGACGUGGACCCGUUCCUGACACAGGACCUUGAGGUCACGUGGCUGUAAAUACCUGAACACCCAGAGCCUCUCAUCUGUUCAGCCUCAUCCUCCGGGCUGCUGGCAGGGAGGGAGGCCUUUGUUUAUCUCUGAUCCACCGCUGAGCUGCCUGGCCAGCUCCUGGGUCCUCUGCUGCUUACAUCACCAGUUCUCCCAUCUCUUCUUCCUCCUCAGCAUUUCAGUGCCUACUAUGUGCUCAAGAUCGAGGCCAGGCAGCUUGCAAGUGUGUUUCUCCAGGCUGCCCCUCCGAGGAUCUUCUUCCUGCUCUUUCAUCUUCUGACUCAGGCAAAGGCUCUGCCCCCUGGACAAGAGUCUUCCCACUUAUCUGGGUGCCACCUUCUCCUCCCCCUGCGGACCUCAGGACCUCCCGCCUGUCCCUGAGGCUUGACAGGGGUGUUCUUUGUGUCCCGUCCUUGAGUCUCAGCAG
RNAcentral lists this long non-coding RNA (24365 nucleotides) under Heterocephalus glaber (naked mole-rat). RNAcentral describes it as "lncRNA (ENSHGLG00000037984.1)". The record is from RNAcentral. Lineage: Eukaryota; Metazoa; Chordata; Mammalia; Rodentia; Bathyergidae.